Molecule: ribosomal RNA, 898 nt
Filed under: Hydnangium sp. AW-2012a
Lineage: Eukaryota; Fungi; Basidiomycota; Agaricomycetes; Agaricales; Hydnangiaceae
Also listed under: 1 other name
Description: eukaryotic LSU rRNA
Rfam family: Eukaryotic large subunit ribosomal RNA
Source: RNAcentral
AACUAACAAGGAUUCCCCUAGUAACUGCGAGUGAAGCGGGAAAAGCUCAAAUUUAAAAUCUGGCAGUCUUUGGCUGUCCGAGUUGUAAUCUAGAGAAGUAUUAUCCGCGCUGGACCGUGUACAAGUCUCCUGGAAUGGAGCGUCAUAGAGGGUGAGAAUCCCGUCUUUGACACGGACUGCCAGGGCUUUGUGAUGUGCUCUCAAAGAGUCGAGUUGUUUGGGAAUGCAGCUCAAAAUGGGUGGUAAAUUCCAUCUAAAGCUAAAUAUUGGCGAGAGACCGAUAGCGAACAAGUACCGUGAGGGAAAGAUGAAAAGAACUUUGGAAAGAGAGUUAAACAGUACGUGAAAUUGCUGAAAGGGAAACGCUUGAAGUCAGUCGCGUUGGCCAGGGAUCAACCUUGCUUUUUUGCUUGGCUUACUUCCUGGUUGACGGGUCAGCAUCAAUUUUGACUGGUGGAAAAAGUUCAAGGGAAUGUGGCAUCUUCGGAUGUGUUAUAGCCUUUGCUCGCAUACAUCGGUUGGGAUUGAGGAACUCAGCACGCCGCAAGGCCGGGUUUUUAACCACGUACGUGCUUAGGAUGCUGGCAUAAUGGCUUUAAUCGACCCGUCUUGAAACACGGACCAAGGAGUCUAACAUGCCUGCGAGUGUUUGGGUGGAAAACCCGAGCGCGUAAUGAAAGUGAAAGUUGAGAUCCCUGUCGUGGGGAGCAUCGACGCCCGGAUCUGACCUUUUGUGACGAUUCCGCGGUAGAGCAUGUAUGUUGGGACCCGAAAGAUGGUGAACUAUGCCUGAAUAGGGUGAAGCCAGAGGAAACUCUGGUGGAGGCUCGUAGCGAUUCUGACGUGCAAAUCGAUCGUCAAAUUUGGGUAUAGGGGCGAAAGACUAAUCGAACCAUCU